UACGGAGGGUGCAAGCGUUGUCCGGAAUCACUGGGCGUAAAGGGCGCGUAGGCGGCCCGGUAAGUCGGGGGUGAAAUCCUGCGGCUUAACCGCAGGGCUGCCUUCUAAACUGUCGGGCUCGAGCACGGUAGAGGCAGAUGGAAUUCCCGGUGUAGCGGUGGAAUGCGUAGAGAUCGGGAAGAACAUCAGUGGCGAAGGCGGUCUGCUGGGACGUUGCUGACGCUGAGGCGCGACAGCGUGGGGAGCAAACAGG
Molecule: ribosomal RNA, 253 nt
Filed under: uncultured bacterium
Lineage: Bacteria
Description: partial 16S ribosomal RNA
Rfam family: Bacterial small subunit ribosomal RNA
Source: RNAcentral